RNAcentral lists this ribosomal RNA (728 nucleotides) under uncultured bacterium. RNAcentral's name for it is "bacterial SSU rRNA". It matches the Rfam family "Bacterial small subunit ribosomal RNA", at positions 739 to 1469 of the family's 1533-position model. The record is from RNAcentral.
ACUGACGCUCAUGCACGAAAGCGUGGGGAGCAAACAGGGUUAGAUACCCUGGUAGUCCACGCCCUAAACGAUGUCAACUGGUUGUUGGGAAUUCACUUUCUCAGUAACGAGGCUAACGCGUGAAGUUGACCGCCUGGGGAGUACGGCCGCAAGGUUAAAACUCAAAGGAAUUGACGGGGACCCGCACAAGCGGUGGAUGAUGUGGUUUAAUUCGAUGCAACGCGAAAAACCUUACCCACCUUUGACAUGUACGGAAGAUCGCAGAGACGCGAUUGUGCUCGAAAGAGAGCCGUAACACAGGUGCUGCAUGGCUGUCGUCAGCUCGUGUCGUGAGAUGUUGGGUUAAGUCCCGCAACGAGCGCAACCCUUGUCAUUAGUUGCUACAUUCAGUUGGGCACUCUAAUGAGACUGCCGGUGACAAACCGGGGGAAGGUGGGGAUGACGUCAAGUCCUCAUGGCCCUGAUAGGUGGGGCUACACACGUCAUACAAUGGCUGGUACAAAGGGUUGCCAACCCGCGAGGGGGAGCCAAUCCCACAAAGCCAGUCGUAGUCCGGAUCGUAGUCUGCAACUCGACUACGUGAUGUCGGAAUCGCUAGUAAUCGUGGAUCAGAAUGUCACGGUGAAUACGUACCCGGGUCUUGUACACACCGCCCGUCACACCAUGGGAGCGGGUUCUGCCAGAAGUAGGUAGCCUAACCGUAAGGAGGGCGCUACCACGGCAGGGUC